GACGAACGCGGGCGGCGUGCUUAACACAUGCAAGUCGAACGAAGAGCGAUGGAAGCUUGCUUCUAUCAAUCUUAGUGGCGAACGGGUGAGUAACGCGUAAUCAACCUGCCCUUCAGAGGGGGACAACAGUUGGAAACGACUGCUAAUACCGCAUACGAUCUAACCUCGGCAUCGAGGAUAGAUGAAAGGUGGCCUCUACAUGUAAGCUAUCACUGAAGGAGGGGAUUGCGUCUGAUUAGCUAGUUGGAGGGGUAACGGCCCACCAAGGCGGUGAUCAGUAGCCGGUCUGAGAGGAUGAACGGCCACAUUGGGACUGAGACACGGCCCAGACUCCUACGGGAGGCAGCAGUGGGGAAUCUUCCGCAAUGGACGAAAGUCUGACGGAGCAACGCCGCGUGAGUGAUGACGGCCUUCGGGUUGUAAAGCUCUGUUAAUCGGGACGAAAGGCC
Molecule: ribosomal RNA, 449 nt
Filed under: Veillonella parvula
Lineage: Bacteria; Bacillati; Bacillota; Negativicutes; Veillonellales; Veillonellaceae
Description: bacterial SSU rRNA
Rfam family: Bacterial small subunit ribosomal RNA
Source: RNAcentral